RNAcentral lists this ribosomal RNA (253 nucleotides) under uncultured bacterium. Its description in RNAcentral is "partial 16S ribosomal RNA". It matches the Rfam family "Bacterial small subunit ribosomal RNA", at positions 524 to 776 of the family's 1533-position model. The record is from RNAcentral.
UACGUAGGGGGCAAGCGUUGUCCGGAUUUAUUGGGCGUAAAGAGUGCGUAGGCGGCUUGACAGGUCUGCUGUGAAAACUCGAGGCUCAACCUCGAGAUGUCGGCGGAAACUGUCUGGCUAGAGUCCGGAAGAGGAGAGUGGAAUUCCUGGUGUAGCGGUGAAAUGCGCAGAUAUCAGGAAGAACACCUAUGGCGAAGGCGGUUCUCUGGGCAUGUCCUGACGCUGAGGAGCGAAAGUGUGGGGAGCGAACAGG